Molecule: ribosomal RNA, 700 nt
Filed under: Bacillus subtilis
Lineage: Bacteria; Bacillati; Bacillota; Bacilli; Caryophanales; Bacillaceae
Description: bacterial SSU rRNA
Rfam family: Bacterial small subunit ribosomal RNA
Source: RNAcentral
CCUUGUCGCGCUAUACAUGCAAGUCGAGCGGACAGAUGGGAGCUUGCUCCCUGAUGUUAGCGGCGGACGGGUGAGUAACACGUGGGUAACCUGCCUGUAAGACUGGGAUAACUCCGGGAAACCGGGGCUAAUACCGGAUGGUUGUUUGAACCGCAUGGUUCAAACAUAAAAGGUGGCUUCGGCUACCACUUACAGAUGGACCCGCGGCGCAUUAGCUAGUUGGUGAGGUAACGGCUCACCAAGGCAACGAUGCGUAGCCGACCUGAGAGGGUGAUCGGCCACACUGGGACUGAGACACGGCCCAGACUCCUACGGGAGGCAGCAGUAGGGAAUCUUCCGCAAUGGACGAAAGUCUGACGGAGCAACGCCGCGUGAGUGAUGAAGGUUUUCGGAUCGUAAAGCUCUGUUGUUAGGGAAGAACAAGUACCGUUCGAAUAGGGCGGUACCUUGACGGUACCUAACCAGAAAGCCACGGCUAACUACGUGCCAGCAGCCGCGGUAAUACGUAGGUGGCAAGCGUUGUCCGGAAUUAUUGGGCGUAAAGGGCUCGCAGGCGGUUUCUUAAGUCUGAUGUGAAAGCCCCCGGCUCAACCGGGGAGGGUCAUUGGAAACUGGGGAACUUGAGUGCAGAAGAGGAGAGUGGAAUUCCACGUGUAGCGGUGAAAUGCGUAGAGAUGUGGAGGAACACCAGUGGCGAAGG